Molecule: long non-coding RNA, 863 nt
Filed under: Nicotiana benthamiana
Lineage: Eukaryota; Viridiplantae; Streptophyta; Magnoliopsida; Solanales; Solanaceae
Description: long non-coding RNA (NBEN_LNC019396)
Source: RNAcentral
UAUUUACCCCUGCUGUUAUCCAUUUUAACAUAUUGCCCCCACAUCUAGCGGAGUCUUAUUUUAAGACACCUGACACGAUCUUAAACAAUAUAAUCAUCUACCCUUUACCCUAGUCGUUCAGCCCCAACACAAUAUCCAAACCCACCCCAAGAAAAGGAUUUUAACCCAAAGAUAUGGUUCUUCUCCUUCGUUUAUAUGGAGAACUAUUUCAGCCCAUUUGAGGCUGCUCGAUUCAAAAACAAAAAUCAGAAAAUUCUUUAACUUAGCUAUUUGGGUUUGCGAUCUGUAGUAGGAAUUUCAAGUUUGAGUUUUAAGAGUUUUUGUGUUUUAAAUUAGGAGCUUAAAACUUACUCAAAUCGUGGCUCAUUGUUUGGACGAUUUGGUAUUCAAACACUUGAACAACUUUCAAGUUAAUUCUUUGUGAUACUGGUAGUUUGAGUUUGUGCAAAAUUUUUGAGAUCCACCAUUGAUGAACAACCUUUAAAAUUUAGCAGUGGGUUUGAAGUUUGAACGCGAAUAAGACGAACUGGGUAUCUUAAUUUCGUUGAUGUUUGCUCGAAAUGGUGCUUUCUAUUGUAAUUAGUAUUGUUUAUAUCCAACUUCAACUGUUAGUACACUUAUGAAACUUUAUUGAAGAAGAAGAAGAAUCUCAUUGCCAAAAUUUCGAGAUCUUUUAUUCACAAAAAUUAAGAAAAUAAAAAUGUCAUUGUUGAACCUUGAAGGUCUUGGGAUUGAACUAGAUUGGGAGAUUAUUUGGGAUAAUUUUGUACUGGAUUUGGUCGAUAUUUGUAAGCUGAAAAUGCAGCAAUUGUUAUCUUUGUUUACUCUUGAUUAGAUUAGCUUAGCAUUUAUACAUAUUAAGU